ACACAUGCAAGUCGAGCGCCCCGCAAGGGGAGCGGCAGACGGGUGAGUAACGCGUGGGAAUCUACCCUUUUCUACGGAAUANCGCAGGGAAACUUGUGCUAAUACCGUAUGAGCCCUUCGGGGGAAAGAUUUAUCGGGAAAGGAUGAGCCCGCGUUGGAUUACCUAGUUGGUGGGGUAAAGGCCUACCAAGGCGANGAUCCAGACCUGGUCUGAGAGGAUGAUCAGCCACAUUGGGACUGACACACGGCCCAAACUCCUACGG
This 263-nucleotide ribosomal RNA is filed under the name Rhizobium sp. USDA 1083. RNAcentral's name for it is "partial 16S ribosomal RNA". It matches the Rfam family "Bacterial small subunit ribosomal RNA", at positions 51 to 344 of the family's 1533-position model. The record is from RNAcentral. Lineage: Bacteria; Pseudomonadati; Pseudomonadota; Alphaproteobacteria; Hyphomicrobiales; Rhizobiaceae.